This 468-nucleotide ribosomal RNA is filed under the name uncultured bacterium. RNAcentral describes it as "partial 16S ribosomal RNA". It matches the Rfam family "Bacterial small subunit ribosomal RNA", at positions 28 to 507 of the family's 1533-position model. The record is from RNAcentral.
GACGAACGCUGGCGGCGUGCUUAACACAUGCAAGUCGAACGGAAAGGCCCUGCGUGUGUGUCGUGCUGGGGACGGGAGCGGAACACGUGGACGAGCGUCCCCGCACCUUGGCUUUAGCCUGGGAUACUGGGACUAAUACCGAAUAGGACUACGAGCUUCAGCUGGAGGGGGGGGGAGGGUUUGCUGCGGGGGUUGGGCAUGGGCUCGCGGCUUAUCAGCUUGGGGGUGGGGUCGUGGCUUACCAAGGCGUUGACGGGUAGCCGGCCUGAGAGGGUGACCGGCCACACUGGGACUGAGAUACGGCCCAGACUCCUACGGGAGGCAGCAGUGGGGAAUAUUGCACAAUGGGCGCAAGCCUGAUGCAGCAACGCCGCGUGCGGGAUGACGGCCUUCGGGUUGUAAACCUCUUUCGCUUGGGACGAAGCGUGAGUGACGGUACCUAUUGAAGAAGCACCGGCUAACUACGUG